UCAAAACAAUCAAGGGUAUUUAUUUAGUAAGUGACAUUAUAUUAUUAAUCCACAAUAUUACUUAAGGACAAAAAUUCAAAAGCCAAUUAUUUGUCCAAACAUAAUAUAUAUAAGAUGAAUGACGAAAGAAAUUAAAAAGAAAACAUUGAAAAUAAAGAAGACAAAGUUUACCUUCUUUGGACCACACCCGAAGGCUGCUUACAUUCCUCAUAUGGAGGAUCAGGUCCACGUAGCUCUUAAAUCUACUAAAAAUUCAGCAUAGUUUCCUUUGAAAAUUGGAUAUUUCUCCUUACUAAAACAAAAAUCGGAUAAACUCAACAAUAAACACAAAUACCCCUUUGGAACCUUUAGCAUGCGUAUUUCCUUCAAUCACCCACAAUUUCACAAUGUACAUUACCAUUAGAUAAUUCCAUAAAUGAAAUAUAAUCAGCCAUUUUAUUUCAUCCAUAUCUCAAACCCCACCUUUCCAUACUAAUUUUCAGAACAAUUAUUUUAACUACCCAGGUUUGAUACUCAAUCAAAACCAUAAUUCUUAACAUACCUAUGAACUCAAAGUUCUG
Molecule: unclassified non-coding RNA, 560 nt
Filed under: Hevea brasiliensis (rubber tree)
Lineage: Eukaryota; Viridiplantae; Streptophyta; Magnoliopsida; Malpighiales; Euphorbiaceae
Source: RNAcentral